CUCGACUACAUGAAGCUGGAAUCGCUAGUAAUCGCAGAUCAGAAUGCUGCGGUGAAUACGUUCCCGGGUCUUGUACACACCGCCCGUCACACCAUGGGAGUCGGAAAUGCCCGAAGUCUGUGACCCAACCUGAGAGGGAGGGAGCAGCCGAAGGCAGGUCUGAUGACUGGGGUGAAGUCGUAACAAGGUAGC
RNAcentral lists this ribosomal RNA (192 nucleotides) under uncultured bacterium. Its description in RNAcentral is "partial 16S ribosomal RNA". It matches the Rfam family "Bacterial small subunit ribosomal RNA", at positions 1311 to 1500 of the family's 1533-position model. The record is from RNAcentral.